CCUCCAGAGUCAGAGAGCUGGGGAUGGUGUCUGGUAUAAAGACCGGAUGAGGUUUAUCUACAGAACUGAGAUUUUGGAAGGCUGGAACCGACAGACUCCUAGAACUGCUAGAGGAGGAAGUGUUGGAGGACAUUUUGAAUCAAGUGAAAAUCCUAAAAAUCUCGAAAAAAUUAAAAAAAAUAAGAAACGGGGUGCUCACAGAAAAUCGAAUAGACAGAAUGUAAAGGAAGAAAAAUGAAAGAAGAACAGCAAGAAAAAAUACAGGAGGAGAGUUCUAGAACUAACCUAGGCUGGUCCGAAGGAUGCAGAAAUGCAGAGAUGGGGAUGACUCGAAGAAUGCCUA
RNAcentral lists this long non-coding RNA (343 nucleotides) under Elaeis guineensis (African oil palm). RNAcentral describes it as "long non-coding RNA (EGUI_LNC054353)". The record is from RNAcentral. Lineage: Eukaryota; Viridiplantae; Streptophyta; Magnoliopsida; Arecales; Arecaceae.